Molecule: ribosomal RNA, 253 nt
Filed under: uncultured bacterium
Lineage: Bacteria
Description: partial 16S ribosomal RNA
Rfam family: Bacterial small subunit ribosomal RNA
Source: RNAcentral
UACGUAGGGGGCAAGCGUUGUCCGGAUUUAUUGGGCGUAAAGAGCGUGUAGGCGGUUAGGUAGGUCCGUUGUGAAAACUCGAGGCUCAACCUCGAGACGCCGAUGGAAACCAUCUAGCUAGAGUCCGGAAGAGGAGAGUGGAAUUCCUGGUGUAGCGGUGAAAUGCGCAGAUAUCAGGAAGAACACCCGUGGCUAAGGCGGCUCUCUAGUACGGUACUGACGCUGAGACGCGAAAGCGUGGGGAGCGAACAGG